This is a non-coding RNA of Trichonephila inaurata madagascariensis, 74 nucleotides long. The record is from the annotation of a GenBank genome assembly. NCBI's taxonomy places the organism in Eukaryota, Metazoa, Arthropoda, Arachnida, Araneae, Nephilidae.
GCCCCACAUAGUAUGGUGGUUAUGACACUCGACUUAUAGUCGAGGGGACUCGGGUUCAAAUCCCGAAUAAGGCA